GCCCGUCGCGUUCAUCCGGCGGCGCGCUCCAUGCCGAUCCGUCUCGGCGUCGCAUACGGCAUAUGCCAGUCGCCUUCGCGUCGGUCUAUAUACCGGGGAAAUUCGCGUUAUCUUCAUCCCCACUUUGUUCGCCUCGCCGCAUCUUCGCAUCGACGGGCCGCCUUGUCUCAAUAGCGCGCCGCUGGGGACUGGGGUAGUGGGGUGGGGUAUAGGGUUUAGGCUAACCACACUCAUACUACUCUAAAUUUGUACUCUAAAAAAAAUAUUCUGUCCUGGUCAGCAAAAUUCUUUACUCUAUACCACAAUCCUCCGCACUCAUGUUUACUCUAUAUCCCAACCCUAUACCAACUAUCAUAUAUUAUAUUAUUUUUUAACUCUAUAUCCCUAGCUGGCGUCGGCGAGGGCAUAUUGAAGUGUACCAGUAGCAGCAGUAGCUAGCUAGCUUUUCACCCACACGCAUGCGCCUGCAGUCCGAUCGAGUGGAGAGAGGGACUCUAGAAAUAGCGUUUUACAAGCGCACUCUAAUUUUACAGUAGCACAUAAGGUGCACGACUACAGCAUCUGUUAACUGCAAAUGUAACUGAAAAAACAUAGCGCAUGCUUUAGAGUUGGUCACUGCGGCUAGCCUUAGGCUCGCAAAAUAUUCCGUCUCGAUAAAGCCGACAUCAAAACUGUUCCGUCGAAGCAGAGCCCGCCCCUUCCCGCGCCGUUCUUUUUGGUUCCCCUGUCCCCGCCGCUGCCGAAAAACCGCCGAUGGAGGUCGUCGCCGCCGCGAAGCAGAAGGCGAAGAAGCAUAUACACCUCUUCUACUGCUCCGAAUGCGAGGAGCUCGCUCUCAAGGUCGCCGCCAGCUCCGACGUCAUCGAGCUCCAGUCUAUCAACUGGCGGAGCUUCGACGACGGGUUCCCGAACCUGUCAUCAACAAGGCCCACGACAUCCGGGGCAGCACGUGGCGUUCCUGGCCUCCUUCAGCUCGCCGGCGGUCAUAUUCGAGCAGGUCUCCGUCAUCUUCGCGCUGCCCAAGCUCUUCAUCGCCUCGUUCACGCUCGUGCUGCCCUUCUUCCCCACGGGCUCCUUCGAGCGCGUCGAGGAGGAGGGCGACGUCGCCACCGCCUUCACCCUCGCGCACAUCCUCUCCAUGAUCCCCAAGUCGCGCGGCGGGCCCACCAGCGUCGUCAUCUACGACAUCCACGCCCUCCAGGAGAGGUUCUACUUCGGGGACGACGUCCUGCCAUGCUUCGAGACGGGGAUCCCGCUCCUGCUGCAGCGCCUCCGCCAGCUCCCGGACGCAGAGAAUAUCACCAUUGCCUUUCCAGAUGAUGGAGCGUGGAAGCGGUUCCACAAGCUGUUGCAGCACUUUCCAAUGAUAGUCUGUAACAAGGUUCGUGAAGGUGACAAGAGAAUAGUUCGUAUAAAGGAAGGAAAUCCUGAAGGCCGUCAUGUUGUUAUUGUUGAUGAUUUAGUGCAAUCUGGGGGAACUCUUAGAGAAUGCCAGAAAGUUCUAGCUUCACAUGGCGCUUCAAAAGUAAGUGCUUAUGUGACCCCAUGCUGUGUUCCCUAAGCAGUCAUACGAAAAUUUCAUGGCGUCUAACUCUGCUGGGCCAGGCGACCAGCUCGCUUACUUCUGGAUCACGGACUCAUGCCCGCACACAAUAAAAGCCAUCGGGCAAAGACCUCCGUUUGAGGUUCUGAGCCUUGCUGGCUCGAUUGCUGACGCUCUUCAGAUAUGAGCGCGUACACUGACUGGUAGACGGGGGGCUUGAACCGUGGGAUGCCCGUCAGAUCGAGAACUUGUACCGUGAGAUGAGCUGCUCCUGCUUUUUUUCCCUAAAUGUAGGAGUUUGUUCCGGUUCCUUGAAAAAAGCAAAUAAUGUGGAGCAAGUUUUAAGUACCUGAAGGUUCCACAAACAGCGCUGUGAAUUGAUGAUAAAAUCAGGCAUUGGGAUACUCACAUCUGUGUGUACUUACUGUCGAUGCUCGCUUCCGUUUGAAGUUCGCGAGACCAGUGCUUCUUUCCUGAGUCCUGACCCUAUGUUGGAGUACCGUUGCCGUGCAUUCAACAGAGGCCAGUGCUUCUUUCCUGUGUCAAGUCUCGGGCCUGCACCUCUCAACUUCAGCCAUGUACAUGAGCCGCACGAACUUGCAGAGUCGUCACCUGCGCGUGCGGGUGCUGCUGCGGCUGUGGGCUUCUUCCUCCCGAGCGCUGGCGGCUGGCUGCCCUGCAAUGCAUUCAACCAACCGGCCAGCAGCUCCCACAGGGAAUCAGAAACCACCACCGUAAAAACGAUGCUGUAGCAGUAACAAAACCGUGAAUGCCUCAUGUUCGGAGCCUGCAACUCUGGACGGUCUUUUUCAGGUAGUUCGCGGCGUGCGUUUGCUGCGGAGCAUCAUUGCUGGGAAAAAAGGUCUACCUUAAAGCCUAUGAUGAGCAGUAGCCUAGCCGAGACAAGACAGAAUGUUUGGGUAUAGUAUAUAGCAGGUAUAGGUGUACAUUUGUGCUGUGCCUAAUAGGCUGGCCCAAAGCACACAAUUUCUGGCACAGUCCAUAUCUGGCACGGCCCAAUCUAAUUGUGGGCCUGGGCCGGCAUGGCCCACAUUGUGGGCCGUGCCUGGGCCUCAAGUCAAGCCCACGGGCCGGCCUGGCAUGGCCCAUUUAACUAAGGCCCACCGAGGCCCAAUAAUAUGGACUCAGUAUUUAACUAAGGUCCUUCAAAGCCCACAUGACUAGCAUAACUUGGAGAAUCUAGAGCUUCAAUAAGCCAUCGAGAACCAAUACCUAGAUAUGGAUAGUGAAUAGUGAUGAUGAUCAUUGUAUAUGUAUUCUGUAUGGAUGUAUAGUACUCAAUUAAACACUAAACAGAGAACUGAAUAUUAUUUGUGAGCUAUUUAUAAUAUUUUUUUCUUUCUGACCAAAGGUUUAUAAUGUGCAUCCACAAAACAUCUUAGUUUUAUUUUGGUCAUAUAUAUAUUUUAUAUUUUUGUUGAUAUAUUACUGUUAUAUGUAUAUGAGCCGGUCUAGCACAUUAAGGUAUUUUGGGCUAUUUGGGCUGGCCUGGCACACAUAACUAAUUGUGGGCCGUGCCGUGGGCCGAUGAUUGGGCACACGUGCUGGUACGGCACGACCCAUAAUUAGAUAUGUGCCUUUGUGGACCGUGCCUUUGUGGGCCGUGCUUUUGUGGGCCUGUGCCGUGCCGGGCCAGGCCAGCCCCACAUGUACAUGUAUAAUAGGAGGCGGGGCGGGGACGGUCGGACAGACAAGGUUGGCUGCACAGGUCCUGGCAUUUGGACGAUGGGUGGGUGAUUGCCUGAUUGGCUGAUUGGCCCCUAGCUUCGCUGCGGCCCGCAGCAAACGCCAAUUAAAUAAAAACUGCAAAACGCUGCAUGCAUCCACCACGAGUGAACCGUCAGAAGCUUCGGUUCAUUCGGGGACGCGCUUCCGAUCCUAUUUUCAGAGCCUUCUCUAAACGUAGAAGAGAGCUUCCUGGUUUGAUUUAUACUAGUACCCUUUUUCCCCUUAGCUGCAACCGCUGCAAAGGUAAUUUAAAUCUGACAAAAUACAGAAUUGUAUAUUGUUUUUUUCAGAUUAAAGUUCACGUUGUUGGGCCCAAUGAUGCUAACGAACGUAAUAAUAAUCGGACGGCCGCUGUCCACGUGAGUUGGUGGCACGAAGAGCUGCUGAACCCCGGGCAGGCAACACAGAUCACAGAACAUGGUGGUCGUCACUCAUCAUUUUUUGUUGCCAACACGACUCCGGUCAGUGUAUCUGAGCUGCCUGCCUGACUUGCAGGAGAUAGAAAAAAAAAGGGGUUGGUAGUUCGUUCACGUCGCCUCGAGGGCUAUAGCAUGUUCUUGUGUUCACAAAGGUAGUAGGAACUUUUCAGCUGCACACCUGGUGAAUAAAGCCAGUCUGUCCAGGCGGAGGCAAGCUGUUGUGGCUGCGACACAAACACUGCGCCAUCACAUACACAUACCAUCUCUCCACCAUCCUCUGUCCAGACGACCAGACCAAAUUAAAAGGAGAAGCAAACAGAGAUCUGGCAAUCUGGGUGGGGGUGGGCGGCGAGAGAGCAGGAGAAGACCAUUGCCCCUUGAAGGCGGGCUCCAGAGCGAGCUUCUCCGCCCUCUCUGUUUGCCUUGCCUGCUUGCCUCUACUCGUCCGGCCCAGCCAUGGCCACCAUCCUGGAGACCAUCCAGAAGGCGAGGCUCCUGCCGCCCAGGCCGCCUCAAGGACGAGCUGCCAACCUUCGGCGGCGGCGGCAGAGAGGAGAGCCACCCUCACGGGCCUGCGGAAGCGGCUGUCCGCCUUCUCCGGCAAGAUCCAGCCCAUCUCCUCCGCGUCGGCCGAGUGGGCGUUUCCGCCGGCGCUCCCGGCCGGCGCCCCUCCCUCUCCGCGGGAGGCGGCUCCCUGAGGCAAGUGGUGGCGGCGGGGCGUCGUCGGCUGGCUUCUGUCCCGGAAGCCGGGGUUCGCGGGCGACCUCGAGAUGAACGAGGACGAGGGCCGCCACGGCGGCAGGGGCACCUGGGGCUGGGGCCACGUCCUUUACAGGGUGCGCUCCGGCGUCCGCCGCCUCGUCGUGUCCGCGCACUCGCUCCCCACCACGCAGAGUCAGUCCCUGCCGCCGCCGGCGCACUGCAAGCCGGCGGCGCUCGCCCACGCGCAGAGGCUGGGCUUCCACCACGCCGGCCACGCCAUGGCGCACUAAGGAGGGUCGCCGGUCGCGCCGCGCCGCGCUGCGCUUGCCGGUGCUGUUUGCGGCCGAUCUCCCUCCAGAUUCGGAAACGGAGAAGCGGGCGAGAGGCACGAGAAGAGGAGGAUUCAGGUUGCAGGUAGGUGCGUGAGAUCGGUGGCGAAGAAAUCGCUGUACCGUUAUAAGUGAAAACUAGCUCGGUGAAUCGAUGGUGAAUGGAAUGGAAUGGAAGGUUUACCAUCCUGUGCUGUAGAGGUCAACUGGUCAAGUGUUGUAUCAUAUGCUCGUUCUUUAUAUUCUUUUUGGGUUUAUUGGACGAUGAAAACGUACAAUUUUGGUUGAAUCUGUACUUUUUUUUAAUUUUUUUUCCUCCAGCAGUAAAUAAAACUAACGCAAAUUGUGCUCC
This is an RNA transcript of Zea mays, 5094 nucleotides long. It is a transcript of the gene named ribose-phosphate pyrophosphokinase 4-like, with no coding region annotated. Lineage: Eukaryota; Viridiplantae; Streptophyta; Magnoliopsida; Poales; Poaceae. The transcript has 6 exons. The record is from RefSeq and is a predicted model, not a curated record.